Non-coding RNA from Oryza barthii, 193 nucleotides. NCBI's taxonomy places the organism in Eukaryota, Viridiplantae, Streptophyta, Magnoliopsida, Poales, Poaceae. The record is from Rfam.
UUUAAGUGCAACCAUGAGUUUCCGUGUCCAUCUUUGAUUGUCCGUCUUAUUUAUUUUUUUUUAUAAUUAGUAUUUUUGUUGUUAUGAGAUGAUAAAACAUGAAUAGUACUUUAUGCAUGACUUAUGUUUUAAAAUUUUUUUAAAUAAGAUGGAUGAUUAAAGUUAAGCACGGAAAAGCAUGGCUGUAUUUAAA